GAUGAACGCUGGCGGCGUGCCUAAUACAUGCAAGUCGAGCGAACAGACGAGGAGCUUGUUCCUCUGACGUUAGCCGCGGACGGGUGAGUAACACGUGGAUAACCUACCUAUAUGACUGGGAUAAUUUCGGGACACCGGAGCUAAUCCCGGAUAAUAUAUUGAACCGUAUGGUUCAAUAGUGAAAGGCGGUUUUGGUGUCACUUAUCGAUGGAUCUGCGCCGCUUUAGCUGGUUGGUAAGGUAACGGCUUACCACGGCAACUAUGCGUAUCCGACCUGCGAGGGUGAUAGGCCACACUGGAACUUGGACACGGCCCAUACUCCUGAGGGAGGCAGCAGUAGGGAAUGGUCCGCAGUGGGCGAAAGUUUGACGGAACAACCCCACGUGAGUGAUGAAGGCCCUCGGAUCGUAAAACUGUGUUAGUAGGGAAGAACAAAUGUGUAAGUAACUAUGCACGGCUUGACGGUACCUAAUCAGAAAGCCACGGCUAACUACGUG
This 497-nucleotide ribosomal RNA is filed under the name uncultured bacterium. RNAcentral's name for it is "partial 16S ribosomal RNA". It matches the Rfam family "Bacterial small subunit ribosomal RNA", at positions 28 to 507 of the family's 1533-position model. The record is from RNAcentral.